UGGGCAACCUGCCCCCGGCUCUGGGAUAACUCCAAGAAAUUGGGGCUAAUACCGGAUAUGACCGCUGACCGCAUGGUCUGGUGGUGGAAAGUUUUUCGGCUGGGGAUGGGCCCGCGGCCUAUCAGCUUGUUGGUGGGGUAGUGGCCUACCAAGGCGACGACGGGUAGCCGGCCUGAGAGGGUGACCGGCCACACUGGGACUGAGACACGGCCCAGACUCCUACGGGAG
Molecule: ribosomal RNA, 228 nt
Filed under: uncultured bacterium
Lineage: Bacteria
Description: partial 16S ribosomal RNA
Rfam family: Bacterial small subunit ribosomal RNA
Source: RNAcentral